GCUAAACGAAUGGCUGUAAGUCAAGGACUACCUGCAGAAGAGGCUGGCAGAGUGCAGAGCAAGGAACCAACCAUAGCAGUUUUAUUUCUAGGAAUGAAUCAGUGACCCACACACAAAUGCCACUGAAAGGAUAGCUAAUAUUCCACGGUGCUACUUCUACAUCCUGUUCAAGACUGUGACUGAUUGUGUCCACCAUGACAGCCAUUUUUGAAAUGGGGAAGCCUCUCAAGAGUCGCCAUUUUGUGAACUCUGAAAAUUCCAGUCAAACCUCUAACUCCAAACAACUACAGAGCCCCAAUCUAGUCUCGUUGCCAUCCUUCUUUCAGCAAAAAUCAGGACAAUGGAUCCAUUUCAUCUGCCUCUAACAACAAUUCUGUGAGCUGGAAUCACAUGACCUAAAUGGGUUUGCUUUUAUGACACAGAAAAAACUCACUAUCCAAAGUGGCUGGCAAGGCAGAGACUUCAUUGCCACGUUGACGGUUUGUCAGGGUACUGGAACGCUUCAGGAUCCCAUCUGCAUUUUGAGAAAUAAAAGAAAGAGAAUCUUCA
Long non-coding RNA from Crotalus tigris (Tiger rattlesnake), 549 nucleotides. RefSeq lists it as uncharacterized. NCBI's taxonomy places the organism in Eukaryota, Metazoa, Chordata, Lepidosauria, Squamata, Viperidae. The record is from RefSeq and is a predicted model, not a curated record. The transcript has 2 exons.